This 442-nucleotide long non-coding RNA is filed under the name Carica papaya (papaya). RNAcentral describes it as "long non-coding RNA (CPAP_LNC011985)". Lineage: Eukaryota; Viridiplantae; Streptophyta; Magnoliopsida; Brassicales; Caricaceae. The record is from RNAcentral.
AGCUCGAAGAGACCAAUAAGGUCCUAUAAACGCCUGCAAGAAAAUGGUAUCGUCAGAAAUCUGGUACGAAACUAUAUAUUGUAUAAAAAAAUACUUUCCAUCCAUUAUGAGUGCAAAAUAGAGAAUUUCUAUAUACAGUAUCAAGCAUGCCCCUAUCAGAACAAAGGAAUCCAGAUAAUUAUAGUCUUGUUUAAACACUGGUGAUAGAAUAUCAGAAGAUUAAAUUCUUUGAAGUCUUAAAUAUGUCCUCAAAUCUGUUAUUUUUUUAUGAUUGUCAAUAAUUUCAGGCACACAGGUAGAUCAAGAAACAGUUAAGUAUUUCUGCAUUGAUGGGGUUUACAAGUUAGAUCAAAAGAAUACAAGUCUACAGAUCAAGAAUAAAAUGUAACAUUUUGACAUACAUGAAAAACUACUGCACAUCUUCCACUUCUUUUUUUUCCCC